UGGGGAAUUUUGGACAAUGGGCGAAAGCCUGAUCCAGCAAUGCCGCGUGAGUGAAGAAGGCCUUCGGGUUGUAAAGCUCUUUUGUCAGGGAAGAAACGGUGAGGGCUAAUAUCCCUUGCUAAUGACGGUACCUGAAGAAUAAGCACCGGCUAACUACGUGCCAGCAGCCGCGGUAAUACGUAGGGUGCAAGCGUUAAUCGGAAUUACUGGGCGUAAAGCGUGCGCAGUCGGUUUUGUAAGUCUGAUGUGAAAUCCCCGGGCUCAACCUGGGAAUUGCAUUGGAGACUGCAAGGCUAGAAUCUGGCAGAGGGGGGUAGAAUUCCACGUGUAGCAGUGAAAUGCGUAGAUAUGUGGAGGAACACCGAUGGCGAAGGCAGCCCCCUGGGUCAAGAUUGACGCUCAUGCACGAAAGCGUGGGGAGCAAACA
This 427-nucleotide ribosomal RNA is filed under the name uncultured bacterium. RNAcentral's name for it is "partial 16S ribosomal RNA". It matches the Rfam family "Bacterial small subunit ribosomal RNA", at positions 355 to 774 of the family's 1533-position model. The record is from RNAcentral.